GAUGAACGCUGGCGGCGUGCCUAACACAUGCAAGUCGAGCGAAGCGCUUAAAUUAGAUUUCUUCGGAAUGACGAUUUUUGUGACUGAGCGGCGGACGGGUGAGUAACGCGUGGGUAACCUGCCUCAUACAGGGGGAUAACAGUUAGAAAUGACUGCUAAUACCGCAUAAGACCCCAGCUUCGCAUGAAGCGGUGGUAAAAACUCCGGUGGUAUGAGAUGGACCCGCGUCUGAUUAGCUAGUUGGUAAGGUAACGGCUUACCAAGGCGACGAUCAGUAGCCGACCUGGGAGGGUGACCCGCUACAAUGGGACUGAGACACGGCCCAGACUCCUACGGGAGGCAGCAGUGGGGAAUAUUGCACAAUGGAGGAAACCCUGAUGAAGCGACGCCGCGUGAAGGAUGAAGUAUUUCGGUAUGUAAACUUCUAUCAGCAGGGAAGAAAGUGACGGUACCUGACUAAGAAGCCCCGGCUAACUACGUG
RNAcentral lists this ribosomal RNA (481 nucleotides) under uncultured bacterium. RNAcentral describes it as "partial 16S ribosomal RNA". It matches the Rfam family "Bacterial small subunit ribosomal RNA", at positions 28 to 507 of the family's 1533-position model. The record is from RNAcentral.